CGGUCCCAAGAGAUCGGGAUAACACCUGGAAACAGAUGCUAAUACCGGAUAACAACAGAUGAUGCCUAUCAACUGUUUAAAAGAUGGUUCUGCUAUCACUCUUGGAUGGACCUGCGGUGCAUUAGCUAGUUGGUAGGGUAACGGCCUACCAAGGCGAUGAUGCAUAGCCGAGUUGAGAGACUGAUCGGCCACAUUGGGACUGAGACACGGCCCAA
RNAcentral lists this ribosomal RNA (215 nucleotides) under uncultured bacterium. Its description in RNAcentral is "partial 16S ribosomal RNA". It matches the Rfam family "Bacterial small subunit ribosomal RNA", at positions 125 to 334 of the family's 1533-position model. The record is from RNAcentral.